Molecule: ribosomal RNA, 358 nt
Filed under: uncultured bacterium
Lineage: Bacteria
Description: bacterial SSU rRNA
Rfam family: Bacterial small subunit ribosomal RNA
Source: RNAcentral
CGAAAGGAGAUUAACUACCCAUAAUAUAUUUGAUGGCAUCAAUUAAAUAUUAGAAAACUCAGGUGGAAUAAAGAGUGGGCACGCGCAAGAUUAGAUAGUUGGUAGGGUAACGGCCUACCAAGUCUACGAUCUUUAGGGGCCUGAGAGGGUGAUCCCCCCACACUGGUACUGAGACACGGACCAGACUCCUACGGGAGGCAGCAGUGAGGAAUAUUGGACAAUGGGUGCAAGCCUGAUCCAGCCAUCCCGCGUGAAGGAAUAAGGACCUAUGGUUUGUAAACUUCUUUAUACUGGGAUAAACCUACCCUCGUGAGGGUAGCUGAAGGUACAGUAUGAAUAAGCACCGGCUAACUCCGUG